GCUGGGUGUGGUGGUGCGCACCUGUGGUCCCAGCUACUUGGAGGCAGAGGUGGGAGGAUUGCUUGAGACCAGGAGUUCAAGGCUGUCGUGCGCUUUGAUCACACCUGUGAAUAGCCAACUGCACUCCAGCCUGGGCAACGUAGUGUGGUCCUGCCUCUU
This 159-nucleotide non-coding RNA is filed under the name Pan paniscus (pygmy chimpanzee). Lineage: Eukaryota; Metazoa; Chordata; Mammalia; Primates; Hominidae. RNAcentral also lists the same sequence under 1 other name. The record is from Rfam by way of RNAcentral.